UGUAACCAUGUCCUGGAUUUAAAACUUUCGCCGCGAGGAUCUUCCUGUAUGAUAUUAAAAUUUGUGGUACGAAUAGAUAACAGAAUAACUGUCCUUCCCUGAUUAUGCAGGAUCGGUAUUUCAGUCUGUCGGAUAAAGGAAGAAGCUUAACACUGAUUACAUUUCGUACAGCUACAAAACACUCAUGAGAAGGGAAGAUUACAAAACAUAUCUUUGCAGUGUUGGUGAAAUUUGGGGUGGAUCAACUUCAGCUUCAUGCUGAACUUGAUAGAGUUCUAGAGGUCUGGAGAGGCACAGAAUAUCAUGUAGACGUCCUCGUCUCCAGACACUCCAGUGUUAUUCCGGAAGGAUCCCCUCCACCAGAUACAAAGAAUAUAAACAGAGUAAGAGAUUAAAGUUUAUCACUUAAGCGCUUCUGACUUUGACGUGAAGAGAGCUGAAGACCUAAUCAGACAACUCAGUGACACCGUUACCCCCACGUAACAGCCGGAUUUGCCGUGGAAUUUAGCUUUGACAUAGUCAACUUCAUAAGAAACUAAUGAUCGUCAGACUUAAGGGGGUAUUAGUGCUCUGCAAAUAUAUCUAGUUUCCCAUUUAGCCAGAUCCAAAGCCUUGUUCUGAUCCAUCCGUGCAGAGAAUGAAAGUUUUAGCUUGUAGUAGGUACGUGGAAUGUGUAUUUCACUGGCGUGUAACUGUGUCAUUUAAAUUGUUGGCUUUCCAGUGUGUGCCACUGCUAGUGUUAAACCAAUACUCGCCGUUAAUAAAGAAAGCAACUUCCAUUUUAAAA
Long non-coding RNA from Brienomyrus brachyistius, 787 nucleotides. RefSeq lists it as uncharacterized. Lineage: Eukaryota; Metazoa; Chordata; Actinopteri; Osteoglossiformes; Mormyridae. The record is from RefSeq and is a predicted model, not a curated record. The transcript has 3 exons.